ACGGUGUGAGAUUAGUCUGAUGGAGCACGCCGCGUGAGUGAAGAAGGGUUUCGGCUCGUAAAGCUCUGUUGGUAGUGAAGAAAGAUAGAGGUAGUAACUGGCCUUUAUUUGACGGUAAUUACUUAGAAAGUCACGGCUAACUACGUGCCAGCAGCCGCGGUAAUACGUAUUGGAGAGUGGCAAGCGUUGUCCGGAUUUAUUGGGCGUAAAGCGAGUGCAGGCGGUUCAAUAAGUCUGAUGUGAAAGCCUUCGGGAGACUCAACCGGAGAAUUGCAUCAGAAACUGUUGAACUUGAGUGCAGAAGAGGAGAGUGGAACUCCAUGUGUAGCGGUGGUGUGAAUGCGUACGUGUAGAUAUAUGGAAGAACACCAGUGGCGAAGGCGGCUCUCUGGUCUGCAACUGACGCUGAGGCUCGAAAGCAUGGGUAGCGAAGGGCUUUACAGGAUUAGAUACCCUGGUAGUCCAUGCCGUAAACGAUGAGUGCUAAGUGUUGGGAGGUUUCCGCCUCUCAGUGCUGCAGCUAACGCAUUAAGCACUCCGCCUGGGGAGUACGACCGCAAGGUUGAAACUCAAAGGAAUUGGACGGG
Molecule: ribosomal RNA, 587 nt
Filed under: Lactobacillus sp.
Lineage: Bacteria; Bacillati; Bacillota; Bacilli; Lactobacillales; Lactobacillaceae
Description: bacterial SSU rRNA
Rfam family: Bacterial small subunit ribosomal RNA
Source: RNAcentral